ACACCUCAACUCUUCAUGGUUUUCCAUGAUGAGCUUGGACUUUGGGGGCCUUGCCGGCCUAGUGUCGGCUCCUCUCAAAUGAAUCAGCUUACCAGUGUUUGGUGGGCAUCACAGGUGUGAUAACUAUCUGCGCUUGUGGUUUUCCACCAAGUAACCUUCAGCAGUGGAGGUUCACUGGAGCUCACAGACGUCUCUCCUCAGUGAGGACAGCCCUUUGAAU
Molecule: unclassified non-coding RNA, 220 nt
Filed under: uncultured Thelephoraceae
Lineage: Eukaryota; Fungi; Basidiomycota; Agaricomycetes; Thelephorales; Thelephoraceae
Description: sequence contains ITS2
Source: RNAcentral